This 1468-nucleotide ribosomal RNA is filed under the name Leptolyngbya boryana UTEX B 488. RNAcentral's name for it is "bacterial SSU rRNA". It matches the Rfam family "Bacterial small subunit ribosomal RNA". The record is from RNAcentral. Lineage: Bacteria; Bacillati; Cyanobacteriota; Cyanophyceae; Leptolyngbyales; Leptolyngbyaceae.
GGCUCAGGAUGAACGCUGGCGGUAUGCUUAACACAUGCAAGUCGAACGGUCUCUUCGGAGAUAGUGGCGGACGGGUGAGUAACGCGUGAGAACAUGCCUUUAGAUUGGGGACAACAGUUGGAAACGACUGCUAAUACCGAAUGUGCCUUAGGGUGAAAGAUUUAUUGUCUAGAGAUUGGCUCGCGUCAGAUUAGCUAGUUGGAGUGGUAACGGCACACCAAGGCGACGAUCUGUACUUGGUCUGAGAGGAUGACCAGGCACACUGGAACUGAGACACGGUCCAGACUCCUACGGGAGGCAGCAGUGGGGAAUUUUCCGCAAUGGGCGAAAGCCUGACGGAGCAAUACCGCGUGAGGGAGGACGGCUUUUGGGUUGUAAACCUCUUUUAUCAGGGAAGAAUCGAUGACGGUACCUGAUGAAUCAGCAUCGGCUAACUCCGUGCCAGCAGCCGCGGUAAUACGGAGGAUGCAAGCGUUAUCCGGAAUUAUUGGGCGUAAAGCGUCCGUAGGUGGUUUAUCAAGUCUGCUGUCAAAGCGUGCGGCUUAACCGCAUAAGGGCAGUGGAAACUGAUGAACUAGAGUGCGAUAGGGGUAACAGGAAUUCCCAGUGUAGCGGUGAAAUGCGUAGAUAUUGGGAAGAACACCAGCGGCGAAAGCGUGUUACUGGGUCUGCACUGACACUGAGGGACGAAAGCUAGGGGAGCGAAAGGGAUUAGAUACCCCUGUAGUCCUAGCCGUAAACGAUGACAACUAGGCGUGGUUCGUAUCGACCCGAGCCGUGCCGUAGCCAACGCGUUAAGUUGUCCGCCUGGGGAGUACGCACGCAAGUGUGAAACUCAAAGGAAUUGACGGGGGCCCGCACAAGCGGUGGAGUAUGUGGUUUAAUUCGAUGCAACGCGAAGAACCUUACCAAGGCUUGACAUCCUCGGAACCCUGAUGAAAGUUAGGGGUGCCUUCGGGAGCCGAGAGACAGGUGGUGCAUGGCUGUCGUCAGCUCGUGUCGUGAGAUGUUGGGUUAAGUCCCGCAACGAGCGCAACCCACGUUUUUAGUUGCCAGCAUUCAGUUGGGCACUCUAGAGAGACUGCCGGUGACAAACCGGAGGAAGGUGUGGAUGACGUCAAGUCAGCAUGCCCCAUACGCCUUGGGCUACACACGUACUACAAUGCGUCGGACAAAGAGCAGCCAGCCAGCGAUGGUGAGCCAAUCUCAUAAACCGGCGCUCAGUUCAGAUUGCAGGCUGCAACUCGCCUGCAUGAAGGCGGAAUCGCUAGUAAUCGCAGGUCAGCAUACUGCGGUGAAUACGUUCCCGGGCCUUGUACACACCGCCCGUCACACCAUGGGAGUUGGUCACGCCCGAAGUCGUUACUCUAACUGCUUGCAGAGGAGGACGCCGAAGGUGGGGCUGAUGACUGGGGUGAAGUCGUAACAAGGUAGCCGUACCGGAAGGUGUGGCUGGAUCACCUCCUUA